AUGUACGUCGGUUCCAACCCCACCUCGCAGAUCAGGAACUCCGACAUACGCUGCAGCACACCACCUUAAUGUCUUCUUCAACUGUUCUACUUUGGCGGCAAUCUUCUCCUCGCAGAGAUAUGCGACAGAAUGCAGCGCCUGCCUAAACAUCCCAGAGCCACGGGGCACACCUAUACGUUCGGCGGACGCGACCAUCCCGAGGACGCGCUCUGGGCUGGAGGUGAUGACCAUCGGUAUUUGGAUGAACAGCUUGGCAAUAUCACAAGCACCUAG
This 273-nucleotide ribosomal RNA is filed under the name Triticum aestivum (bread wheat). RNAcentral's name for it is "partial small subunit ribosomal RNA". The record is from RNAcentral. Lineage: Eukaryota; Viridiplantae; Streptophyta; Magnoliopsida; Poales; Poaceae.